This 488-nucleotide ribosomal RNA is filed under the name uncultured Altererythrobacter sp. RNAcentral describes it as "bacterial SSU rRNA". It matches the Rfam family "Bacterial small subunit ribosomal RNA", at positions 371 to 876 of the family's 1533-position model. The record is from RNAcentral. Lineage: Bacteria; Pseudomonadati; Pseudomonadota; Alphaproteobacteria; Sphingomonadales; Erythrobacteraceae.
AUGGGCGAAAGCCUGAUCCAGCAAUGCCGCGUGAGUGAUGAAGGCCUUAGGGUUGUAAAGCUCUUUUACAAGGGAUGAUAAUGACAGUACCUGGAGAAUAAGCUCCGGCUAACUCCGUGCCAGCAGCCGCGGUAAUACGGAGGGAGCUAGCGUUGUUCGGAAUUACUGGGCGUAAAGCGCGCGUAGGCGGUCCAUUAAGUCAGGGGUGAAAUCCCGGAGCUCAACUCCGGAACUGCCCUUGAAACUGGCGGACUAGAAUCCUGGAGAGGCGAGUGGAAUUCCGAGUGUAGAGGUGAAAUUCGUAGAUAUUCGGAAGAACACCAGUGGCGAAGGCGACUCGCUGGACAGGUAUUGACGCUGAGGUGGGAAAGCGUGGGGAGCAACCAGGUUUAGAUACCCUGGUAGUCCACCCCGUAAACGAUGAUAACUAGCUGUUCGGGCUCUUAGAGCGUGAGUGGCGCAGCUAACGCAUUAAGUUAUCCGCCUGG